AUGAACGCUGGCGGCGUGCCUAAUCCAUGCACGUCGAGCGAACAGAUGAGGAGCUUGCUCCUCUGACGUUAGCGGCGGACGGGUGAGUAACACGUGGAUAACCUACCUAUAAGACUGGGAUAACUUCGGGAAACCGGAGCUAAUACCGGAUAAUAUAUUGAACCGCAUGGUUCAAUAGUGAAAGACGGUUUUGCUGUCACUUAUAGAUGGAUCCGCGCCGCAUUAGCUAGUUGGUAAGGUAACGGCUUACCAAGGCAACGAUGCGUAGCCGACCUGAGAGGGUGAUCGGCCACACUGGAACUGAGACACGGUCCAGACUCCUACGGGAGGCAGCAGUAGGGAAUCUUCCGCAAUGGGCGAAAGCCUGACGGAGCAACGCCGCGUGAGUGAUGAAGGUCUUCGGAUCGUAAAACUCUGUUAUUAGGGAAGAACAAAUGUGUAAGUAACUAUGCACGUCUUGACGGUACCUAAUCAGAAAGCCACGGCUAACUACGUG
Molecule: ribosomal RNA, 496 nt
Filed under: uncultured bacterium
Lineage: Bacteria
Description: partial 16S ribosomal RNA
Rfam family: Bacterial small subunit ribosomal RNA
Source: RNAcentral